RNAcentral lists this transfer RNA (73 nucleotides) under Stegodyphus mimosarum. It matches the Rfam family "tRNA". Rfam says of the family: Transfer RNA (tRNA) molecules are approximately 80 nucleotides in length. Their secondary structure includes four short double-helical elements and three loops (D, anti-codon, and T loops). Further hydrogen bonds mediate the characteristic L-shaped molecular structure. tRNAs have two regions of fundamental functional importance: the anti-codon, which is responsible for specific mRNA codon recognition, and the 3' end, to which the tRNAs corresponding amino acid is attached (by aminoacyl-tRNA synthetases). tRNAs cope with the degeneracy of the genetic code in two manners: having more than one tRNA (with a specific anti-codon) for a particular amino acid; and 'wobble' base-pairing, i.e. permitting non-standard base-pairing at the 3rd anti-codon position. The record is from Rfam by way of RNAcentral. Lineage: Eukaryota; Metazoa; Arthropoda; Arachnida; Araneae; Eresidae.
GCCGUCGUGGUGUAAUGGUCAGCACACUGAGCCGGUAUUUCAGAGGUCCGCGGUUCGAUUCCCGGCGAAGGCG